AGCCCAAACCAACAAGCUUGCUUGUUGGGGUUGUAGGACACUCUAUACGGAGUUACAAAAGAACAUGUUAGACGAAUCAUCUGGAAAGAUGAAUCAAAGAAGGUAAUAAUCCUGUAGUCGAAAACAUAUUCUCUCUUGAGUGGAUCCUGAGUACGACGGAGCACGUGAAAUUCCGUCGGAAUCUGGGAGGACCAUCUCCUAAGGCUAAAUACUCUCUAGUGACCGAUAGUGAACCAGUACCGUGAGGGAAAGGUGAAAAGUACCCCGGAAGGGGAGUGAAAGAGAACUUGAAACCGUGUGCUUACAAGUAGUCAGAGCCCGUUAAUGGGUGAUGGCGUGCCUUUUGUAGAAUGAACCGGCGAGUUACGAUCUGAUGCAAGGUUAAGCAGCAAAUGUGGAGCCGCAGCGAAAGCGAGUCUGAAUAGGGCGUUGAGUAUUUGGUCGUAGACCCGAAACCAGGUGAUCUACCCUUGGUCAGGUUGAAGUUCAGGUAACACUGAAUGGAGGACCGAACCGACUUACGUUGAAAAGUGAGCGGAUGAACUGAGGGUAGCGGAGAAAUUCCAAUCGAACUUGGAGAUAGCUGGUUCUCUCCGAAAUAGCUUUAGGGCUAGCCUCAAGUGAUGAUUAUUGGAGGUAGAGCACUGUUUGGACGAGGGGCCCCUCUCGGGUUACCGAAUUCAGACAAACUCCGAAUGCCAAUUAAUUUAACUUGGGAGUCAGAACAUGGGUGAUAAGGUCCGUGUUCGAAAGGGAAACAGCCCAGACCACCAGCUAAGGUCCCAAAAUAUAUGUUAAGUGGAAAAGGAUGUGGCGUUGCCCAGACAACUAGGAUGUUGGCUUAGAAGCAGCCAUCAUUUAAAGAGUGCGUAAUAGCUCACUAGUCGAGUGACACUGCGCCGAAAAUGUACCGGGGCUAAACAUAUUACCGAAGCUGUGGAUUGUCCUUUGGACAAUGGUAGGAGAGCGUUCUAAGGGCGUCGAAGCAUGAUCGCAAGGACAUGUGGAGCGCUUAGAAGUGAGAAUGCCGGUGUGAGUAGCGAAAGACGGGUGAGAAUCCCGUCCACCGAUUGACUAAGGUUUCCAGAGGAAGGCUCGUCCGCUCUGGGUUAGUCGGGUCCUAAGCUGAGGCCGACAGGCGUAGGCGAUGGAUAACAGGUUGAUAUUCCUGUACCACCUAGUAUCGUUUUAAUCGAUGGGGGGACGCAGUAGGAUAGGCGAAGCGUGCUGUUGGAGUGCACGUCCAAGCAGUAAGGCUGAGUGUUAGGCAAAUCCGGCACUCAUAAGGCUGAGCUGUGAUGGGGAGAGGAAAUUGUUUCCUCGAGUCGUUGAUUUCACACUGCCGAGAAAAGCCUCUAGAUAGAUAACAGGUGCCCGUACCGCAAACCGACACAGGUAGUCAAGAUGAGAAUUCUAAGGUGAGCGAGCGAACUCUCGUUAAGGAACUCGGCAAAAUGACCCCGUAACUUCGGGAGAAGGGGUGCUCUUUAGGGUUCACGCCCAGAAGAGCCGCAGUGAAUAGGCCCAAGCGACUGUUUAUCAAAAACACAGGUCUCUGCUAAACCGUAAGGUGAUGUAUAGGGGCUGACGCCUGCCCGGUGCUGGAAGGUUAAGAGGAGUGGUUAGCUUCUGCGAAGCUACGAAUCGAAGCCCCAGUAAACGGCGGCCGUAACUAUAACGGUCCUAAGGUAGCGAAAUUCCUUGUCGGGUAAGUUCCGACCCGCACGAAAGGCGUAACGAUUUGGGCACUGUCUCAACGAGAGACUCGGUGAAAUCAUAGUACCUGUGAAGAUGCAGGUUACCCGCGACAGGACGGAAAGACCCCGUGGAGCUUUACUGUAGCCUGAUAUUGAAAUUCGGCACAGCUUGUACAGGAUAGGUAGGAGCCUUUGAAACGUGAGCGCUAGCUUACGUGGAGGCG
This 1921-nucleotide ribosomal RNA is filed under the name Staphylococcus epidermidis. RNAcentral describes it as "partial 23S ribosomal RNA". It matches the Rfam family "Bacterial large subunit ribosomal RNA", at positions 266 to 2188 of the family's 2925-position model. Lineage: Bacteria; Bacillati; Bacillota; Bacilli; Caryophanales; Staphylococcaceae. The record is from RNAcentral.